AGCAAAAGCAAGUUGUUUUUGCAACGCUCAGUCGCGCGGAGCGCUGCGGGUGUGCAUACAAACAGCAACAACAACAAAGCAGCAACACUAACAGAAGCAUACGCAUGGAGGAAAUUCUGUAUGCCGUUGCAUGCGUGGCUAAGUGAGUAAAAUGCCAAAAAAAUAAUGAAGUGCAUGUGCUGCAUAUUGAAUGAUAAAACAACAAGUUGCAAUAACAAUUAAGCAAUUAACAAAACAAGUUUCAAUUAAAAAAAAAAAAACAAGAAAGUACAACAUCUGCAGCGCGCAGCAACAGACGCUGCCAAUCAACGAACUCGCGAGUGAACGGCCGCAGCAGCAGCAGCAGCAGAAGCAGAGGAGCCAAAGAAACAGCUGUGCUUACAGUUUGACAAUCAACAUUAGCUCUGUGCUGCUCCCCCGCAUCGUUGUCGGCGUGAACACAUGAGACCACAGCGGCGUUCACUGAGCGCGUGAAAGAGAGCGAAGCAGAAUUAAAAGCGCCGUUAAACGGAGUUUGCCGGG
Molecule: long non-coding RNA, 522 nt
Organism: Drosophila arizonae
Lineage: Eukaryota; Metazoa; Arthropoda; Insecta; Diptera; Drosophilidae
Gene: gish
Source: RefSeq, a predicted model, not a curated record